UUGGAGAGGCCAAACAACACAGUACGCUUUCCCUUUCCGGAUCUGGCUUCUCUCCGAUCACCGCGAUUCUUUGAAAUCGAUCGGCUUCUCUCCGAUCACCGCGAUUCUUUGAAAUCGAUCGGCUUCUCUACUCUAUCGCUCUAUAUCCAGUCUCAAUCCUCUAAUGCUUUACUGCUAUUAGGUAUUUUCUUAGUCUGUAGUCCUAUUUGUUUACUACCGGCUGCGAUUCGUCGGAUCGUUAUCUAUGCUUGAGGUCCAAAACUUUUUACAUGUGCUUCAAGGUUUAAAUGUGAAAGACAGUGCAGAUGUGAUGAGCAAAUACAAUGUUAAAAGGAGGCUAAUGUAGUUUGUAACCUGAGACUAAUGUAGUUUCACAUUGUUAUAAUCAUUUUUUUCUCUUACUAAGUGCAAACCUUUGAUUGAAAAUAAUACAAUUUGAUUUUUUCCUUUAUAGAAGGAUUUGAUUUUUAUAACUGGAUGGCAUUUGUUUUGAGCACGUGAAACCAAUAUGCUUGUUAUUACUACUGGUUUGUCAUUUUUGUUUUGAAUAUGAAGUCACUAAUCAAAUGUGAAUAACCUACAGAGUUCUGUGAUCAAGUACAGAUUCAGUGUGCUCUCAUUGGUAGCUAAGGAGGUUAUCACUAUUAGUGACUCAUGGGUGCCAAGAUGAUCGUUUCAACCUAAUUUCUAGGGGAGCCAUUUUCAAGCAGAAUAGAUGGCAAAGAAAGAACAAACACGCAAAGCUUAAUUCCCAAAAUGGCUGGUUAGUAGCCAUUAUUUAUAGAACAGAAGGCUGAAGAGUUCAAAUCAAGUUUGGAGGAACGAAAUAUCCUCAUCAUUAAGCACCAUGGCUUUUGUUUGUAAUGAAAACAUUACCUCAGUGUUUCGGCCAUCAAGUUCUGCAGAUGUCCUUCCCUAAGAUGAAUAAUGGAGCCAAGAUGAACAAUGGAGCCAUUUUCAGGUUAUAUCAGAUGGAUGGCAAAGUCUAAGCAGUGAAUAGCAAACACGCAGAGGGUUAGUGCAAAAGGCGGUUUAGAGAGGUUUAUAUAGAGGGCUAACAUUGUAUUCGAAAUUUGAAAAAUACCUUGGAAGCCUGAAGGCUACUGGAAACCUUUCAGUUUCCAAGAGCACAAUUAAUAGAUGAUUGUUUAGAAGCAUUUAAUAGUAUAUAUACAGAUGUAAAAUAUGUAGGUGUCUAUCUGUAGUUAUGCGCGUGUCUAUCUGUAUGUAUGCAGGUGUAUAUAUGUAGCUUAUCAUUAGAAGUCUUUCAUUAAUAGAAGUGUAUUUAUUGUA
This is a long non-coding RNA of Ipomoea nil (Japanese morning glory), 1293 nucleotides long. RefSeq lists it as uncharacterized. The record is from RefSeq and is a predicted model, not a curated record. The transcript has 4 exons. NCBI's taxonomy places the organism in Eukaryota, Viridiplantae, Streptophyta, Magnoliopsida, Solanales, Convolvulaceae.